Molecule: ribosomal RNA, 580 nt
Filed under: uncultured bacterium
Lineage: Bacteria
Description: partial 16S ribosomal RNA
Rfam family: Bacterial small subunit ribosomal RNA
Source: RNAcentral
UGGGGAAUUUUGGACAAUGGGCGAAAGCCUGAUCCAGCAAUGCCGCGUGUGUGAAGAAGGCCUUCGGGUUGUAAAGCACUUUUGUCCGGAAAGAAAUCCUUGGCUCUAAUACAGUCGGGGGAUGACGGUACCGGAAGAAUAAGCACCGGCUAACUACGUGCCAGCAGCCGCGGUAAUACGUAGGGUGCAAGCGUUAAUCGGAAUUACUGGGCGUAAAGCGUGCGCAGGCGGUUUGCUAAGACCGAUGUGAAAUCCCCGGGCUCAACCUGGGAACUGCAUUGGUGACUGGCAGGCUAGAGUAUGGCAGAGGGGGGUAGAAUUCCACGUGUAGCAGUGAAAUGCGUAGAGAUGUGGAGGAAUACCGAUGGCGAAGGCAGCCCCCUGGGCCAAUACUGACGCUCAUGCACGAAAGCGUGGGGGAGCAAAACAGGAUUAGAUACCCUGGUAGUCCACGCCCUAAACGAUGUCAACUAGUUGUUGGGGAUUCAUUUCCUUAGUAACGUAGCUAACGCGUGAAGUUGACCGCCUGGGGAGUACGGUCGCAAGAUUAAAACUUAAAUGAAUUGACGGGGUCAUAGCU